This 253-nucleotide ribosomal RNA is filed under the name uncultured bacterium. RNAcentral describes it as "partial 16S ribosomal RNA". It matches the Rfam family "Bacterial small subunit ribosomal RNA", at positions 524 to 776 of the family's 1533-position model. The record is from RNAcentral.
UACGGAGGGUGCAAGCGUUAUCCGGAUUCACUGGGUUUAAAGGGUGCGUAGGCGGGUAUAUAAGUCAGUGGUGAAAGCUCCGAGCUUAACUUGGAAACUGCCAUUGAUACUGUAUAUCUUGAAUGUCGUUGAGGUUAGCGGAAUGUUGCAUGUAGCGGUGAAAUGCUUAGAUAUGUUACAGAACACCAAGUGGGAAGACAGCUAACUAAGCGAUGAUUGACGCUGAGGCACGAAAGCGUGGGGAGCAAACAGG